CAUGCAGUCGCACGAGAACGGUUCAGCUUGCUGGACUCAUUAAAGUGGCGAACGGGUGAGUAAUGUAUGGACAAUCUAUCCCUGACUCGGGACAACGGUUGGAAACGACUGCUAAUACCCGAUAGCCCCGGUAGGAGGUACUCCGGCCGGGUAAAGGUGGCAACACUGAUCGGGGAGGGGUCCAUAUCCCAUCAGCUUGUUGGUGAGGUAACGGCUCACCAAGGCGACGACGGGUAGCCGAACUGAGAGGUUGAUCGGCCACAUCGGGACUGAGACACUGCCCGGACUCCUACGGGAGGCUGCAGUCGAGAAUCUUCCGCAAUGGACGCAAGUCUGACGGAGCGACGCCGCGUGAAGGAUGAAGGCCCUCGGGUUGUAAACUUCUGUCACUCGUGAAGAAUGUCUGUGGUUAGCCCACCGACUGACGUUAGCGAGAGAGGAAGCCACGGCUAACUUCGUGCCAGCAGCCGCGGUAAGACGAAGGUGGCAACCGUUACUCGGAUUCACUGGGCAUAAAGCGCGCGUAGGUGGCUCGGAAGGUCAUCGGUGAAAUCCCACGGCUUAACCGUGGAACUGCCGAUGAAACCGCCUUGCUUGAGGACGGGAGGGGAGAGUGGAACUCUUGGUGUAGCGGUGAAAUGCGUAGAUAUCAAGAGGAACGCCGGUGGCGAAAGCGACUCUCUGGACCGUUCCUGACACUGAGGUGCGAAAGCUAGGGGAGCAAACAGGAUUAGAUACCCUGGUAGUCCUAGCUGUAAACGAUGGGCACUGGGUAGGGGGCGUCUGAUGCGUUCCCUGCCGGAGCUAAUGUAUUAAGUGCCCCGCCUGGGGAGUAUGGUCGCAAGGCUAAAACUCAAAGGAAUUGACGGGGGCUCACACAAGCGGUGGAGGAUGUGGUUUAUUCGAAGCACGCGCAGAACCUUACCG
This 927-nucleotide ribosomal RNA is filed under the name uncultured marine bacterium. RNAcentral's name for it is "bacterial SSU rRNA". It matches the Rfam family "Bacterial small subunit ribosomal RNA", at positions 54 to 976 of the family's 1533-position model. The record is from RNAcentral.